AAUUAUUUUCAAAUCGUUGUGAUUUAGUAUCGUUAGAGAAUUAGAGUCUUUCAAGUCCUUUAAGGUGUUUUCUAUGAGUUGAGUUGACGCUAUUAUGCGUACUUUUUGUAUCAUGGUCUAUAGAGAUUAAUAACAAUGUGUUUAUUCCUGAAGGCCUAGGAUCUACCAAGGGCUAGGUUUUUGUUUCACAAAAAAUCUUAAGGCUUUGGUAGCAGCGACAUACUAUUCGAAUAGGCGGAUUGCUGGUUAAACCAGAAACAUAUUUACGUAUGGAAAAGGCGGAAUGCGAUCGCCUUUAUUCAAUCCUUUACGGUUAAUCGCGAAGGAGUGCGGGUUUAAACUUGGUAAAGAAAGGGAUUAUAGUCCUCGUCUUGUAGUUUUAAUAAAUUUAACCAUAACAGCUUUAACAAUUUUAUAUGGUUUCUUUCUUUUUAAUCAUUAAAGAACGACUAGUAUAGAAUAAGUAAAAUCAUUUUAUGUGUUCUAUUAUUAAACAUAUUUAGAGUUAUAUAAUAUCUUUGUUAAACAAUUUCUGAUAAGGAACUCGGCAAAUUUGUUCUACGCCUGUUUACCACAAACAUCUCUUCCUGAGUUUAAUAGGAAGUAGGCCCUGCUAAUUGCUAAUGAUAAAAGCGGAUUUCCUUAAUGUAGCGUGAUAAAUUGGCCUUUAAUUGGGGUCCGGUAUGAAUGGGUUGACGAUAGAAAAGCUGUCUCAUUGGAAUAUAUUGAACUUUUCUUCUCGGUGAAAAGACCGCGCUUCUGUUAAAAGACGAGAAGACCCCGUCGAGCUUGAAUGAAGCUUCCACUAUGGUAACCGAAAUUUUAAUUGGGGCAAUUGCGGAAAAGAUAACCUCCGCUUUUAUGUGAGGAUCCAUUACUUAUGAAUAAAGAAAAAGCUACCGCGGGGAUAACAGCGCAAGAUUGCUUUAGAGGCCUUAUCGACGGCAAUAAUUGCGACCUCGAUGUUGGAUUAAGGUUACUUUUAGGCGCAGAAGCUUAAAUAAGUGGGGCUGUUCGCCCCUUAAAUCCUUACAUGAUCUGAGUUAAGACCGGCGUGAGCUAGGUCGGUUUCAAUCUUUAAACCUCUCCAUCUUAUGUACGAGAGGACCAAGAUGGUAAAGA
RNAcentral lists this ribosomal RNA (1122 nucleotides) under Cerastoderma edule. RNAcentral's name for it is "16S ribosomal RNA". It matches the Rfam family "Bacterial large subunit ribosomal RNA", at positions 471 to 2706 of the family's 2925-position model. The record is from RNAcentral. Lineage: Eukaryota; Metazoa; Mollusca; Bivalvia; Cardiida; Cardiidae.